AUGUACCACUCGUACACUCCGGUUCCUGUGCGCCGCCCGCACCCACCUGACGACUACUCGCUACGUUUUGUUAGCC
This 76-nucleotide small RNA is filed under the name Xanthomonas vasicola. RNAcentral describes it as "sX9 sRNA". It matches the Rfam family "Xanthomonas sRNA sX9". The record is from RNAcentral. Lineage: Bacteria; Pseudomonadati; Pseudomonadota; Gammaproteobacteria; Lysobacterales; Lysobacteraceae.